CCAAUAGCGUAUAUUAAAGUUGUUGCAGUUAAAAAGCUCGUAGUUGAAUUUCGGGAUCAAUACGUCGGUCGUGCCUCUGGUAUGUACUGGUGUUAUUGAUUCCUCCUUUCUGAUGAACCAUGAUGUCAUUAAUUUGGUGUUGUGGGGAGUCAGUACUGUUACUUUGAAAAAAUUAGAGUGUUUAAAGCAGGCCUGCGCUUGAAUACAUUAGCAUGGAAUGAUAAAAUAGGACGUUCGAACCUAUUUUGUUGGUUUCUAGGAUCAACGUAAUGAUUAAUAGGGAUAGUUGGGGGCAUUAGUAUUCAAUUGUCAGAGGUGAAAUUCUUGGAUUUAUUGAAGACUAACUACUGCAAAAGCAUUUGCCAAGGAUGUUUUCAUUAAUCAAGAACGAAAGUUAGGGGAUCGAAGACGAUCAGAUACCGUCGUAGUCUUAACCAUAAACUAUGCCGACUAGGGAUCGGAUGAUGUUAAUUUUUUAAUGACUCAUUCGGCGCCUUACG
RNAcentral lists this ribosomal RNA (500 nucleotides) under uncultured Glomeromycotina. RNAcentral describes it as "partial small subunit ribosomal RNA". It matches the Rfam family "Eukaryotic small subunit ribosomal RNA", at positions 591 to 1092 of the family's 1831-position model. Lineage: Eukaryota; Fungi; Glomeromycota. The record is from RNAcentral.